GUCUUCUUUUGCUAUUGUGACCAAGGGAGUUAUCAUAUAGUACUCAAACACAGCAAGUCUUAAUUACCUUUUCCUUACUGAGGAUAUAUGUCUUUUUAUGUUCUGUAAUCUCAGACAAUAAAGGCCAGAUUUAUCUUGCUAAGUACUGCAUAACCAACAUGUAGCAGAAUACUUGACAUAUAGUAAAUUAUCAAUAAAACAAAAACAUAGAAAUAAGUUUUAUAAACCGAUCUGUAUACACAUGUACACGUACACCCAUCCAUAUAUAUGUCUGUAGUGUUGUACCUUUCCCAGUUUCUCUCUUUAUAUUACUUCUCCUCCUGAAAUCUUUUUGGGGACCAGGGAUUGAACUCAGGGACAUGAAACUACUGAGCCACAUCUCCAUCCCUAAUCGUGUAUUUUAUUUUGAGACAGGGCCUCACUGAGUUGCUUAGUGCCCCUUUUGCUGAGGCUGGCUUUGAACUCGCUAUCCCCCUGCCUCAGCCUCCCAAACCUCUGGGAUUACAGGCAUAAGUCACCACAGCCCAGCUCCUCCUGAAAUC
This 542-nucleotide long non-coding RNA is filed under the name Marmota monax (woodchuck). The record is from RNAcentral. Lineage: Eukaryota; Metazoa; Chordata; Mammalia; Rodentia; Sciuridae.